GCCCGGCUGGCGCAAUGGUAGCGCGCAAGACUUCUACCAAGAAGUGUAUCUUGAGGCUGUGGGUUCGAGUCCCACGUUGGGCU
Podospora didyma is the source of this 83-nucleotide non-coding RNA. The record is from the annotation of a GenBank genome assembly. Lineage: Eukaryota; Fungi; Ascomycota; Sordariomycetes; Sordariales; Podosporaceae.